Molecule: ribosomal RNA, 499 nt
Filed under: uncultured bacterium
Lineage: Bacteria
Description: partial 16S ribosomal RNA
Rfam family: Bacterial small subunit ribosomal RNA
Source: RNAcentral
ACUCAAAGGAAUAGACGGGGGCCCGCACAAGCGGUGGAUUAUGUGGAUUAAUUCGAUGCAACGCGAAAAACCUUACCUGGCCUUGACAUGUACCGAAUUUGGGAGAGAUUCCUUAGUGCUCGAAAGAGAGCGGUAACACAGGUGCUGCAUGGCUGUCGUCAGCUCGUGUCGUGAGAUGUUGGGUUAAGUCCCGCAACGAGCGCAACCCUUGCCAAUAAUUGCCAUCAUUUAGUUGGGCACUUUAUUGGGACUGCCGGUGACAAACCGGAGGAAGGUGGGGAUGACGUCAAGUCCUCAUGGCCCUUAUGGCCAGGGCUUCACACGUAAUACAAUGGUCGGUACAGAGGGUUGCCAACCCGCGAGGGGGAGCUAAUCUCAGAAAGCCGAUCGUAGUCCGGAUUGAAGUCUGCAACUCGACUUCAUGAAGUCGGAAUCGCUAGUAAUCGCGGAUCAGCAUGUCGCGGUGAAUACGUUCCCGGGCCUUGUACACACCGCCCGU